This 218-nucleotide long non-coding RNA is filed under the name Salvia miltiorrhiza (redroot sage). RNAcentral describes it as "long non-coding RNA (SMIL_LNC009412)". Lineage: Eukaryota; Viridiplantae; Streptophyta; Magnoliopsida; Lamiales; Lamiaceae. The record is from RNAcentral.
CGGUGCAUCUAAUCCCGACGGUGGUGGCUUGUGGUCGUGGCACCGCCGGGGUUCCAGGUCUCUCUCUCUCUUUAAAUCGUCCGCCGUCGUGCCGCCUCCAACGCCGUGUCGCCGAUCCCCUCGCUGCUGCUGCCGUCAACUUUCUCUCUUGUUGCGGAAAUCUGACGACUAAGAGCGACCGUCGGAGUUCCAGACCUCCAAUUUGGGUGAAAUAGAAG